This 482-nucleotide ribosomal RNA is filed under the name uncultured bacterium. Its description in RNAcentral is "bacterial SSU rRNA". It matches the Rfam family "Bacterial small subunit ribosomal RNA", at positions 28 to 492 of the family's 1533-position model. The record is from RNAcentral.
GAUGAACGCUGGCGGCGUGCCUAAUACAUGCAAGUAGAACGCUGAAGCUUGGUGCUUGCACCGAGCGGAGGAGUUGCGAACGGGUGAGUAACGCGUAGGUAACCUGCCUCUUAGCGGGGGAUAACUAUUGGAAACGAUAGCUAAUACCGCAUAAAAGUCGACAUUGCAUGAUGUUGACUUGAAAGGUGCAACUGCAUCACUAAGAGAUGGACCUGCGUUGUAUUAGCUAGUUGGUGAGGUAACGGCUCACCAAGGCGACGAUACAUAGCCGACCUGAGAGGGUGAUCGGCCACACUGGGACUGAGACACGGCCCAGACUCCUACGGGAGGCAGCAGUAGGGAAUCUUCGGCAAUGGACGGAAGUCUGACCGAGCAACGCCGCGUGAGUGAAGAAGGUUUUCGGAUCGUAAAGCUCUGUUGUAAGAGAAGAACGAGUGUGAGAGUGGAAAGUUCACACUGUGACGGUAACUUACCAGAAAGGG